This 517-nucleotide long non-coding RNA is filed under the name Mytilus galloprovincialis (Mediterranean mussel). The record is from RNAcentral. Lineage: Eukaryota; Metazoa; Mollusca; Bivalvia; Mytilida; Mytilidae.
AUAUGCAACCUGAUUGCACCUCCUUCUGAAUAAUUUAUUGCAAUAUAAAUGUGAAUCCUUUUUGACAGCAGAAACCUGACUUUUGUCAUAUAUAACUUUUGAAACAUGUGCACAUGUUAUGGACGCCAUUUUGUUAUUGUUUACAUACUGUAAAGAAGCCUCCAGAACCAUGAUCUAAACAUUAACAGUCUCGAAAAACUUAGAUAAAGGCAACAGUAGUAUACCGCUGUUCAAAACUCAUAAAUCCAUGGACAAAAAACAAAAUCGGGGUAACAAACUAAAACCGAGGGAAACGCAUUAAAUAUAAGAAGAGUACAACUACACAACACUGAAAUGUAACACAAACAGAAACGUACCAAGCAUCAGACAAAUUCCCACGAGAAUAACAAAAAUAAAAUCAAAACCAAAUACACGAAUUUGGGAUAGACAAGUACCGUGACACGUCUUAUCGCAAUGUGAAUUUACACUAAAAAAUAAAAGAAAACAAACGACGCAACGUUAAAAUGUAACACACACA